Molecule: non-coding RNA, 2388 nt
Organism: Macaca mulatta (Rhesus monkey)
Lineage: Eukaryota; Metazoa; Chordata; Mammalia; Primates; Cercopithecidae
Source: RefSeq, a predicted model, not a curated record
UUUUUUUUUAAAACUAUAUAUUGGAAGAAUUUAAUAGUACGAUAAAUAUAUGCCUCUAAAUGCUUAAGUACAAUUCAUUAAUAACUCUAAGCCUGCUAGGCCUUUGUAUUUCAUCACACAAAGACUGGAAAACACAGACACAGAAAAAUCACAACCGUGCAGUGAGACACAUGGACAUUCACAGACACUCCUUCCUGAAAACAAGGACCACUACUGAGACACAUGGGACCUCCCAGACACACCAAUAUAUGUCCCCACAGAAUCACCCAGACUUUGUCACUAGGAAAAACAGGUGGACAUACCCAAGCACACUCAAGAGAUAGAGUCCCAGAGGUAGUAACAGACACACAGUACAGGCCCUCUGCACCCUUCAUCCCCAUCUUUGUUUUUCUUCUUACCACUGUCCAUACAAAGUGCACUUGACUUGCAUCCCUUGUUUUGUUUUGUUUUUAUUGGCCCCUACAUUAGCUUCAAGGGAACAAGGAUAUUUGGUCUCUUCUGUUCACUGCAGCACCUAGGACAUCACCUGUUACACAGAAGAACAUCAGUAAAUACUUAAUGUCCAGGCUCAACAGACAUAUGCAUUCGGUGAGGUGUGCACACAUCUCAUCAGAGGGCCACAUCCAUCUGAAAGUCAGAGAAUGAGUUGUCUUCACAGCCAUCCCUUGUGGAAGGAGGAGAUCCCCCCAACCCUAAAGGAAGGUCCUUCAGCCGUUUUGGUGGAGUGAUGGUGAUGGUGGUGGGAGCCUUCCUGAGCCCUCACUGUCUACAUAAGAACCUGAGAACAGGGAGCCCGAGUCCACCACAGGACAAGAGUCAUGACGUUGUAGCCCCUGACGCCGCUCAAAUUCUAAGAAAGCCUCCUCACUACCAGACCCAGGGAGCUCAGUUAGGACAUCACUGGUAUCUCUUCCUCGCUCGGCUGCCCUUUUUUGCAGUCACCUCUGAUGCCACCAUAUUCACAGCAGUGCCUUCUACUUGCUGUGAAAGUUACCUCGGACCAUCAGGGUCCUUCCCCGUCUGUCGCGUCCCCUCAAGUACAUCCGCCAUUACAAGACGGAGGCCUCUGGAGCUCGGGCUGUCUACCCGCCACAGACACUCAACAUCCGGGACCCACCACACCGGAAGCUGAAUAGGGCAAGAGGAGAGCUUCCGCCACUGCCAGUACCGUUCUUGAUACCUCCUCUUCUUACAGUCACCCCCCCCCUCGCCUAAGUGCGCCUGCGCACUUCGUCAAAGGCGGAAACUCCCAGGUAGUCCCAACAAAGCACAGCUCUUUUAGACGCGAGCCCGUGUUGCAUCCUGGGAACAAUCUGCAGGGCGGGGCUUCCAGAAACUGAGGGGCUUCUCUUCGGAACCCACUUCCCGCAGGCCAAUAAGCUGGCGCUGUGCGCCGUGGGGCUGCGCCUGAGAAGGGCACAUGCGCUCUGGUGAGGCGUUAGUAAGGCACGUCCCGGAGUGUGGGGAGGUAAGGAGCUUGGGGCGCGAUGGGCACUUCGUGGGGCGUCACGACCUGAGUGUGCAGAGAAGGCAUGUCAGGUGACUGGGACAGUGAGGAGGAGUGCCUGUUUGCCCGCCUGUACGUGAAACCCCAUCGCCCCAUCGCUGUAUGUGGUUCCCAGCUGGGCAUCUUUAUGAUGUCACGGGAGAUGUUGACACUGUGAGGUGUGUGAUUGUGCCUGUGGAUUUAUGCAGUAGCAGGAGCUGCUGUGGCUGAUGGGCGUGUCUCCAUGGCAUGGGUUCUGCCACUGCCUCUUCUAUCUCACCUCACAUCGCGCAACUGCCACGUGUUCCCAACAGCAAGAGGAGUUUGGGGAUCCGUAAAGACAUUUCGCAGCAUGAAGACACAGAACUGAGCUUGAGAUGAGAACUUUGGAGCUGGAAGGGGCCUCAAGAAAGGCCCUGGAAGACAAGAUGUGGAUGCCCCUUGUCUGAAGACAGGAUCAGGAUGCUCCCAAUGGGAGGAACCUGAUGUAAACUCAACGACAGAUUCUGGAAGACCUCCCUCUUCUUUCCUGUUAUGUGUGUGAGAUGAAGUCAGGAACAAGGAUCUGGAAAAUAAGCUGAAGUUUGAUGUUCAUGAAGCCCCUAUGCAUCUGUCUGUCUUCAUUUAAUGUGACCUCAAAAGCUCAGCAAUGACUUCUUCUUCAUUCUAAAUUUCAUUCAAGUUAUUGCUAUUGGUAAAUUUGGACAUGGAACCAUAAAGGAAAUGCAUUGCAGCAAAUGAAGUUCCUAACAUUACCCACAUUGACAUAACAAUGCAGAACUAUCUGGAACUCUGGAUUUCUCUGUCAUAUCACAAGUCAAAGCCUACUGUCCAAUUCACAAUCACAAGCAAAGACAAACAGCAAAGGGCAAACAUUAAAAAUUACAAUUCAUUUGAGACUA